CUCCUCUCUCUCUUCAGCCAAUUUUGACUCUUUUUUAGCAGCUAUUCUGACCCCUUUUUCUUGACCAAAAUGCCCCUCAACGUUUUUUUAUUGGUGCUUUGGUUGGAAAAAGAUUACCCCUGAUGUCAAAUUUUUCCCUCAUAACAUUAAUAUCACGAUACCCAAGUCUGGAUAUCGCGAUAUCUUUUGCAGAUUCAAGAUGAG
Molecule: long non-coding RNA, 204 nt
Filed under: Gossypium barbadense (sea-island cotton)
Lineage: Eukaryota; Viridiplantae; Streptophyta; Magnoliopsida; Malvales; Malvaceae
Description: long non-coding RNA (GBAR_LNC016967)
Source: RNAcentral